CCUACGGGUGGCAGCAGUGAGGAAUAUUGGUCAAUGGACGCAAGCCUGAACCAGCCAUGCCGCGUGCAGGAUGACGGCUCUAUGAGUUGUAAACUUCUUUUGUACGAGGGUAAAGUCAGAUACGCGUAUCUUUCUGAAAGUACUGUACGAAUAAGGAUCGGCUAACUCCGUGCCAGCAGCCGCGGUAAUACGGAGGAUUCAAGCGUUAUCCGGAUUUAUUGGGUUUAAAGGGUGCGUAGGCGGUUGGAUAAGUUAGAGGUGAAAUCCAGGGGCUCAACUUCGGACUUGCCUCUGAUACUGUUCGGCUAGAGAGUAGUUGAGGUAGGCGGAAUGUAUGGUGUAGCGGUGAAAUGCUUAGAGAUCAUACAGAACACCGAUUGCGAAGGCAGCUUACCGGGCUACUACUGACGUUGAGGCACGAAAGCGUGGGGAGCAAACAGGAUUAGAUACCCGGGUAGUC
Molecule: ribosomal RNA, 460 nt
Filed under: uncultured bacterium
Lineage: Bacteria
Description: partial 16S ribosomal RNA
Rfam family: Bacterial small subunit ribosomal RNA
Source: RNAcentral